This 1105-nucleotide long non-coding RNA is filed under the name Capra hircus (goat). Its description in RNAcentral is "lncRNA (ENSCHIG00010031372.1)". Lineage: Eukaryota; Metazoa; Chordata; Mammalia; Artiodactyla; Bovidae. The record is from RNAcentral.
UGUCCCAGGACCCUGCGGGGCGGUGGAGGCGCACCAAAAAUUUUGUCUCCUGUCACUUCUUAUGGCUUCAACACAUACUUCUAAGACUGGUCUGGGUGGGCACACUAUUUGGGAUGGAGGGAGGCAACAAAAUGGGAAUAAGCCUUCACACACCCAGUUUCAUCUCAACACUGUCCUAAUAAAAAGGACCUCACCCCCCACCGCCCACAGGGAAAGGGGGAACCAUCUUCACUUCUGGUCUCGAAAUAAGGGACCACUUAUCCCUCCCCAAAGGGGUGGGCUUCACUCAUCCUGGGAUAGGGGCCUUGGCAAAAAUGAGGAAAGAUGGGAGGGGGAAAACAUGGGAGGAGGCGAAGGGUAGAAGGAGGGGGAAAGGGGGGGAUGUGGGAGGAGGGAAAGGGGGAGGAGGGAAAGGGGGAGGAGGGGAAAAGUGGGAGGAGCCCUAGGUCCCUGAGGGUACUAGGGACCAAGAGAGUAAUCAGGAAUUCAGAACACAAAGUCUUGGGGAUCCAUCCAGGAUCCCCAAGGAAACAAGCAUGGGGUACACAGGUUUGGACACUGCUGGUGUUCUGCCGUUCAGUCAGGUCUGACUCUGCGACUCUACGGACUGCAGCACGCCACACUUCCCUGGGAUAAAAGGUGUUGUGUGGCUCUCCCCUGCCCAGCUCACUCCUUCAGGCCCUAUAACCUCUACCAGGACUGCGACAUGGGCAUCCCGCCAGGCCGGCCUAGUCUCCCAGGGCCGCCUCCCCAACCCUCAGGAACCUCUCUCCAGCUCACUUUCCCCAUCACUGGGUUCUCUGCUUCUCCCACUCUUAGCCUCCAUAUUCCUAAGGGUGCUUACCAGGCCCCCGACCCUGGGCUCUCCCCUGCCAUCAUGCCAGGGUGGGUAGGUGGGCAGGCUGCUCAGCUCCUGACUUCUCUCUCCCACUCCUCAGCGAGUCAGGGCUUCUUUUACGUGAGGUCAGCUGACUGCCCCAUCAAGUGGCUCUGCCGCCUGUUCAGCCUCGUCUGUGCUUUAUGUGUUCCUGUCACCACACACCUGUUCCCGGGUCAACAUCAGGGAGUGAGCUGGAGGGCCAUAAAUCUUUCUGCCACUUCCUGA